Molecule: ribosomal RNA, 253 nt
Filed under: uncultured bacterium
Lineage: Bacteria
Description: partial 16S ribosomal RNA
Rfam family: Bacterial small subunit ribosomal RNA
Source: RNAcentral
UACGGAGGUCCCAAGCGUUGUUCGGAUUCACUGGGCGUAAAGGGUGCGUAGGCGGUGAAGUAAGUCGGGUGUGAAAUACCAUAGCUUAACUAUGGAACUGCACUCGAUACUACUUUGCUAGAGUAAGACAGAGGUGAGUGGAACUGAGGGUGGAGCGGUGAAAUGCGUUGAUAUCCUCAGGAACACCGGUGGCGAAGGCGACUCACUGGGUCUUUACUGACGCUGAUGCACGAAAGCUAGGGUAGCAAACGGG